This 92-nucleotide small nucleolar RNA is filed under the name Thermochaetoides thermophila DSM 1495. RNAcentral's name for it is "Chaetomium thermophilum var. thermophilum DSM 1495 A. fumigatus snoRNA Afu_190". It matches the Rfam family "A. fumigatus snoRNA Afu_190". The record is from Rfam by way of RNAcentral. Lineage: Eukaryota; Fungi; Ascomycota; Sordariomycetes; Sordariales; Chaetomiaceae.
CUAUGAUGAUCUCUGUCAGCUGGCACCAGUCAUAGGGUGACUUGUACUCCCUCCGUUGAUGACAAGCUGUGGCUCACCAGGCCAUUUCUGAU